Molecule: long non-coding RNA, 468 nt
Filed under: Anser brachyrhynchus (Pink-footed goose)
Lineage: Eukaryota; Metazoa; Chordata; Aves; Anseriformes; Anatidae
Description: lncRNA (ENSABRG00000011200.1)
Source: RNAcentral
GGAAGUUUUAUGGGUUACAGGUUUUACAUGCAAUCAGACCCAAACACCAGUUUGUGGCCUUGUCUAUUUUACUGCUUUCUGCUUACUUCUGUAUUAAAACUUAAUAUUUUUGUGCUUUUGUAGAACCUACUGCCCGUUUUCCCUGGACGAGAAGGGUGGUGUCUCAAGGGGAGGCCAGAAAUUGUCUCUGGGGACUUGGAUGCUGUUUCUGCUUGAGGAUCUCUCUGCCAUAGGACAAGUAUUUUACUCAGCCUUGUCCCUCAGUCACUGCCUGUGAGAUGAAGGGAUCUUUAUAUAUCUGUGAGAUAUGUGACCAGCUGACAGACCCUCUGCCAAUUAUCAGGUGGAUUUAUUUUCUCCACAAAUUGCAUCUUUGCCAUGAGCAGCCUGUGACUUCAGCCCCUGCGCCCUCAGAGCUUCUCAGUGCAGCUAGAAGUCUGACAGCUAUUCUGAAUGUCCUGAAGUCUA